Molecule: long non-coding RNA, 595 nt
Organism: Sinocyclocheilus grahami
Lineage: Eukaryota; Metazoa; Chordata; Actinopteri; Cypriniformes; Cyprinidae
Exons: 3
Source: RefSeq, a predicted model, not a curated record
CGGCGCUGGCAGUAUGACUAAAGACCAUAGAAUUCAUUCUGCCGGGGAUCCUUUGGUGCAAUGUUAACCCCCAGAGGGGAGCUGUGCCCAGGGAAGCAGUAAAAGGGCGAAUGCAGUGACCAGCUGAAGUCCCGUCUUUGCAGUGUGAGGACAGCCUUUCAAACCGCGCUGGCAGAGGCUUGUCUCCCCCUCACUGAGUCCAUCACAGUUCCGUGGGCCUUUCUCUGCCCAGAUGCUGUAGGCAUGCUGGGUUCUGAAUUCAGCGAGCGGAGAGAGUUGGACAGAGUCAGCAAUGCACCAGCGGGGGACAAAAGAAGCAGGCAAAAAGGCCAAACUCCCCUGGCGGAUCUGAGGUCAGCCACAGAAAUGCACCAAACACACAUUUCCUUCCCGUUGUGCGGGUGUCUUUGACAUGGAUUGGAAUGAAUGUGUAGCGAUCGAUAUUUAAAAUGCACUGUGCUGAAUGAAUGAUGUGAUGCCGGGUGCAUGUACUGUAAUUAAUACAGGUCAACAGCUGAAUAAUCACGACCGUGUUGCUACAGAUGUGUUGCACUUUUCAGAAUAAUGAUGAGUGUUGCUGUGCAUGGCGAUAUCA